GCACCGGUGGUGCAUGGUGCACGGCCUCUUAAUAUGUCCGCUGGAUGAAUUGUUUAAAUCGGGGGAAGGGGGGGUUCGAUUCCCCACCGGUGUG
This is a non-coding RNA of Mycena rebaudengoi, 94 nucleotides long. Lineage: Eukaryota; Fungi; Basidiomycota; Agaricomycetes; Agaricales; Mycenaceae. The record is from the annotation of a GenBank genome assembly.